Molecule: long non-coding RNA, 1945 nt
Filed under: Gallus gallus (chicken)
Lineage: Eukaryota; Metazoa; Chordata; Aves; Galliformes; Phasianidae
Description: lncRNA (ENSGALG00010002521.1)
Source: RNAcentral
CAUUGGUCCUGGUGCUGAUCCCUGAGGGACACCUCACCGAUCUCCAUCUGGACGUUAAGCCAAAGGAACAAGCUUGGUCAGGCAGGACUUGCCCUUGGUGAAGCCGUGCUGGUUAUUCUGUAUCACCUCUUCCAUAUGCCUUAGUGUAUCUUCAAGGAGGAUCUGCUCUAUGAAAUGUAUGACCACUGGAUAUAAGUAUUUCAUUUUUAAAAACAUGACUGGAUACAUCCAGGUCCAAUUCCCAACACUGCUAAGAACUGAGCAACUACGUCUGAAGAGAUUAAAAGCCAUGUGCAAGGAAUCUGGAUAAAAUAUCAGAAUGUAAGUAUGGGAUUUAUCCAUGUAGGUAUCCAUGUUUGUACCAUGCCAUGUUUUGAUAGUAACAUCUCAGUAAUUCCUUCCUAAAACUGCAUAUUUAAUCUUCUUUGCUUUAAAGAGAAUGUAGAUGCUCAUCUUAGGAAUGGAUGCCUACAUUGAGGGCAUUUAAGUUUAGAUGAGACCCAAUCCCUUGGUGUUUGUUGGUCACCAAUAUUGCGGAAUGCAAGAUCUGAGUCAUCACACUGAACACUGAAAACAAAAUGUGUUUUCUGAGCACUGUCUAUUUUAUUCACUAAAACAUGUAGGAGAUCCUUUAAAAAAGUGUUGUGUCAUAUGUUUCUGUAUUAUUAACCAUAUUAUUAUUAACCAUAUUAUGGUGAAUCUGUGCAAAGUGGUGCUGUCUGCAAAACCUUAAUUCUACCUUUUUUUUUUUUAACUUUUAAAUCCUUGGAGAAAUGCCGGUGUAUUCCUGGGAUUUUAGAAGUACAGAAGCCCUAACUUUUUCAUUUUCCCACAGAAUUCUAAGUUCUGGAAGUGGUGUACAAGAGUUGGUGAUGGUAAGAGGAAAAUGCAUGUUUGAGAAACAUGCUGCUGGUUUGAGAUCAGUCCUGUAAACACAGUGAGAAAUGUAAAAGCCCGGACCAGUUUGGAGAAGGCUGGGCUGGUGCUUGAGGGUGGUUUCCAUGCUGCAUCAGUGUGUGAGUCAUUAAACUGAUUGAAGCACAAGUAGCACUGUAAAUGGCAAGGCAGUGCAUAUCGUUAUUUAAUAUAACAGUCACAGGAAAAAAAAAUCAUUUAGAGGUACAGUAUUUCACCCAGACUUCUCCAAAAGAGUUCAGUGUUUAUCUAAAUUACAUGACAAGUGCAAUCCUCCACUAAGCAGUUGAUUUCCUUUGACUUUCUGAGUGCAUGUUACCACAUAAAGGCAUCUGUAUUCAGGUGCUCCUACACAGACUUUGGUAUCCCACUUGGAGCACUCUGAUUUGAAGCUGCUUGGCUUAGCAGCUGGGCUAGAAUUAUUAUUAAAGCCAUGAUGUACUUAAUAGCCAAAAAUAUCAGUAAGGUUUUAAAAGAAAAGCAAGAUAUUCUGCUAGCUUUGCAUAAGCCUUGCAGCUUGUUAAUGGUACUGUGGAAGGAGUCUUUGCCCCAUUCCAUCAAGCUGUUUUUGUGUGGUCUCUGUAAGAAUGGAGCAUCUGGCAGAGCAGACAAAAUCUGUGAGAAAACAUAAUAUAGAUGGAGGCUCAUGCCUUAAAUGUGUUUAAAUGACAAACUCUUCAAAUCAUCUAAGAAAUAGUCAGUCAGCCCUGCCACCAGCUUUUCUGAAUGUCCUAAUCUCCCCCUGCACACUGGGAGGAAGGUCAGUGCAGAGAGGGGAAAGCUUCCCGUCUUGUUUUCAAUUCAGACACAGAAAACCUUAAACAGUGCUAGACCACCCCAAAGGAGCCAUUCCUGAAAGCUUUGCUUUAAAUGUUUCUUAUGCUGUGCUGUAAAAAGCAACUGCCAACCCCUUGGCAGGCUUGGUGUUCAGCAGUGAACUUGAGCUGGGGAGGGGCAGAUCAUUUAAUAGUGACACCCCAUAAUUUGUUGUCACUGAAGUCCAUAUUUAUCCUAUUAAUAAAAGCGUGGC